This is a long non-coding RNA of Papaver somniferum (opium poppy), 809 nucleotides long. RefSeq lists it as uncharacterized. The record is from RefSeq and is a predicted model, not a curated record. The transcript is spliced from 3 exons. NCBI's taxonomy places the organism in Eukaryota, Viridiplantae, Streptophyta, Magnoliopsida, Ranunculales, Papaveraceae.
UACUCCAAUUGACUGAGAAAACAGAGCGAAAUCCAAAGAGAGAAGAUGAAGAACGAUGAGGAUAAAUCGAUCAAGAUGGCAAAGGACUGGAUACAAAAUUUAGCUCAAGGUUGAAAGGGUCGUGAAAUAGAAACUCGAGCUCUUCAAAAUCUCCACUCUAUUCAUCUCCAAAAAGGCUUACUCCGAUGCCGUUUCAUAGUACCCAAAAGCUUAACUGAUAAAGAUGGGAAAUUGGCGUGUAGGAGCAAUUGCAACACUAAUUGACAUUAUCGGUUCUUCUGUUAUCGUCGCUACUGUCGGUAACAUCACCGUCUCUGUCGAUUUCAGCAUAUCCUACUUCUCACCGGCUAAGAUUAAUGAAGAAAUAGAGAUUGAAGCUAAAGUAUUGGGACAUAAAGGAACUCUAUCUUCAAAUACGGUGGUGAUUAGAAAGAAAGAAAAUGGUGAGCUGAUUGCUGUGGGAAAACAAUGGAUGUCUGCAUUUGAUCUCAAACACAAAAGUAAGCUAUAACACACAAAUUGUCAGAUAUACUCGUCGGAAGUGUCCCUUCUUCGGGCAACUUAACUGAACAUUUUUAGGUGUUUUUACAAUUGCUCUAAUCAUGAACUCGGAUAUUUAGUCUGCGGAAACAAAUAGAAUGCAAGGUCAUAUGGAACACAUCGUACCGCUUAGGUGCGCCAUUGUUUGCAAUGAAAUGUCUUUGAACUUGUUUUACGCUUCUCUGCAGCUUUAUGUAUCUAUCUUCUGGUAUUGCCGUUAAGAUUUUCUUCAAAUUUGGGAUUUCACGUAGCGGAACUUGAAUUGAAAA